CUUCUUCUUAGCCUCGUCAGGGCACUCAUCCCCUUCCAGUUCGUGGCUGUGCGGAGCGGCGUCUCGCCAUGGAUGGCCUCCGGGCCUCGAGUUCUUCUUUGAGGAAGCAGAGUCAGGAUUGGUUCCUAAGGCUGAUGCGGGUGAUAUUUUGGGUGGCGGAAUCGAUGUUGUGGAGUCUGUGGUUGCUUCCAUUCAUGAAGGGCGCGAGCGCUCCUCUUAUGUGAUUUCUUCUGAGCCGAUGGACGGUGGCAGCGGUAAAUAGCAGUUCGGGGUGGUGGACGCGAAUCUCGGCUCAUACAUAAACGGUGGGAGUGAGAUCAUUGGUGACUCAAACGAUAUGGCGGCUCAAAAAACGUCCAUUGCAUCUAUGGAAGAGGAGGGAGAUGCAGAAGGGGUCGUCGUGAAGAAAUCAAAGGCCUCCUGUUGGACUCGACGGUAAGAAACACACACUCAUCUGUCGGUUACUUUGCUGCGAUGCCAGAGAUUGUACCUCCAUGAAAGCAUUUUUCUGUAAGACCAGAUAUUGAAUCUCCCUGUACUUGCCUGUAACGAGAAAAAACGCAUAUACAGAGUUCACCCCCAUGUAGAAACAAUUCCUUUUUGUCUACCUCUUAUAAGCAUUCUUGCUAGCUUAGAAUCAUAAUUUUUGUUGAUUCUUUAUCAAAA
Non-coding RNA from Triticum urartu, 666 nucleotides. The record is from RefSeq and is a predicted model, not a curated record. NCBI's taxonomy places the organism in Eukaryota, Viridiplantae, Streptophyta, Magnoliopsida, Poales, Poaceae.